UACAGGGGGUGCAAACGUUGCUCGGAAUUAUUGGGCGUAAAGCGCACGUAGGCGGUUCGUUAUGUCGGAUGUGAAAGCCCUUGGCUCAACUGAGGAAGUGCAUCCGAAACUGGCGAGCUAGAGUAUGUAAGAGGGUCGCGGAAUUCCCGGUGUAGAGGUGAAAUUCGUAGAUAUCGGGAGGAACACCGGUGGCGAAGGCGGCGACCUGGGACAAUACUGACGCUGAGGUGCGAAAGCGUGGGGAGCGAACAGG
Molecule: ribosomal RNA, 253 nt
Filed under: uncultured bacterium
Lineage: Bacteria
Description: partial 16S ribosomal RNA
Rfam family: Bacterial small subunit ribosomal RNA
Source: RNAcentral